Molecule: ribosomal RNA, 198 nt
Filed under: uncultured bacterium
Lineage: Bacteria
Description: partial 16S ribosomal RNA
Rfam family: Bacterial small subunit ribosomal RNA
Source: RNAcentral
ACGCUCGACACCUACGGAAGGCAGCAGUGGGGAAUAUUGCACAAUGGGGGAAACCCUGAUGCAGCGACGCCGCGUGGAGGAAGAAGGUCUUCGGAUUGUAAACUCCUGUUGUUGGGGAAAAAGAGGAUGGUACCCAACAAGGAAGUGACGGCUAACUACGUGCCAGUAGCCGCGGUAAUCUGAGCGGGCUGGCAAGGC